UGUAUCUGAAGUCUGACGAGGAUGAGAACCUCCGGGGGCAAGAGGUUCGACUCGAGCGAAGCGAGAGAACGUUGCGUCAGCAA
This 83-nucleotide small RNA is filed under the name Salmonella enterica subsp. enterica serovar Derby. Its description in RNAcentral is "partial RtT sRNA". It matches the Rfam family "RtT RNA", at positions 1 to 79 of the family's 130-position model. From Rfam's summary of the family: This family represents a bacterial cis-regulatory element known as RtT RNA. The exact function of RtT is unknown although it is thought that it may be involved in changing the cellular response in relation to amino acid starvation. Lineage: Bacteria; Pseudomonadati; Pseudomonadota; Gammaproteobacteria; Enterobacterales; Enterobacteriaceae. RNAcentral also lists the same sequence under 3 other names. The record is from RNAcentral.